This 301-nucleotide ribosomal RNA is filed under the name uncultured Lactobacillus sp. RNAcentral's name for it is "bacterial SSU rRNA". It matches the Rfam family "Bacterial small subunit ribosomal RNA", at positions 495 to 795 of the family's 1533-position model. The record is from RNAcentral. Lineage: Bacteria; Bacillati; Bacillota; Bacilli; Lactobacillales; Lactobacillaceae.
UGCUAAUUAGGUGACAAGAGCGGCGUUAAUACGUUAGGUCCAUGCGAUAUCCGGAGUUAUUGGUCGUAAAGCUAGUGCAGUCGGUUAUUUAAGUCGGAUGUGAAAUCCUACGGCUCAUCCGUAGAAUUGCAUCGGAAACUGGAUGACUUGAGUGCAGUAGAGGAGAGUGGAACUCCAGGUGUAGCGGUGAAAUGCGUAGAGAUAUGGAAGAACACCAGAGGCGAAGGCGGCUCUCUGGACUGUAACUGACGCUGAGGCUCGAAAGUGUGGGUAGCAAACAGGAUUAGAUACCCCGGUAGUC